AGAAAGAGGGAGAGAGCAAGAGACAGAAAAAGAGAAAAAGAGAAAGACUAAGAGUAGUGGUAAAGCGGUGGUUGUGGAGGGGCUAGGAGUAGAGAAGCAAGGCACAAGGGUGUUAACUGUCCUUUGAGUCUCGUCGACGGAACACUUCAUCCGUGCGAUGUCUCACUCGGUUCAUGGGCUCUACUCGUCUAUGGUCCAACUACUGUGGCGCUUCGUGCGCUUCGAUGCUUUGUAAAAAGCCAUUUUCACACCUCUCCUGUCACCCAAAAUGGCGGACGCGCAUCGGACUUCUAAAGACCGUAAUUUUUCGAAGAAAAUUACGGACGAUAUUAAAAUCGUCAGUGAUUCUUCCUUACUUGAGAGGAAAAACCUACUUUCAACGAAUUUAAUAUUCUCGAUUAUCUACCUAUAUAUUCAUGUUCUUAGGUAAGUAUAUGAAACAUCAACGGAAAAUUACAUUUUCAUUUCCAUGGGACGUCGUGAAUAUAUGAAGGAAUUAUCGACGGUGUAAUAAUUGGGAAACUGUAAUGAGAGAUUAAGCCACGGCACCAUCGUAAUGAUGAUGCUAAUAGAAUGUUAUUAAUGUAACGAACGGACCGAUCGAUUUCUCGAAUGUGAAUAUAUUAGAAAAUAAUAAUAUCUUGACGUUUGACCUCAGGUGUUUUAUGAUUAACUGUAUUAUUCAAGGAUUAACAAGAAUAAUUUUUAUUAUUUGCUAUAUGAAACUUUGUAGAAUGAUCAACUUCUUUGAAUAAAAACAAAUACUUUUUCUUUCUCUUUCUCUUUCUCUGUCACUUUUUCUCUUUAUAUUUUUCUUCAGUGAACUACCAAUUCAAGAAACUUUUCUGAAUCUCGUUUAGUUUACACAUUUACCUCCUGUGCACCGCAAUGUUACCAUCAGAAUGUUAGGACAAUGGUGGAAAGGGAAAGAUCGUACAUGUGACGUCCGAAAAUGUGAUGAGACUUUCAAAAUGCUUUUACCUUCUCUCGGAUAUAUCUUGGAGCGAGAGAGAGAGAGAGAGAGAGAGAGAGAGAGAGAGAGAGAGAGAGAGAGAGAGAGAGAGAGAGAGAGAGAGAGAGAGAGAGA
Long non-coding RNA from Vespula pensylvanica (western yellowjacket), 1087 nucleotides. RefSeq lists it as uncharacterized. The transcript is spliced from 2 exons. The record is from RefSeq and is a predicted model, not a curated record. Lineage: Eukaryota; Metazoa; Arthropoda; Insecta; Hymenoptera; Vespidae.